AUUGAACGCUGGCGGCAUGCUUUACACAUGCAAGUCGAACGGUAACAGGCCUUCGGGUGCUGACGAGUGGCGAACGGGUGAGUAAUGCAUCGGAACGUGCCCAAUCGUGGGGGAUAACGUAGCGAAAGUUACGCUAAUACCGCAUAAGCCCUGAGGGGGAAAGCAGGGGAUCGCAAGGCCUUGCGCGAAUGGAGCGGCCGAUGUCAGAUUAGCUAGUUGGUGGGGUAAAGGCCUACCAAGGCGACGAUCUGUAGCGGGUCUGAGAGGAUGAUCCGCCACACUGGGACUGAGACACGGCCCAGACUCCUACGGGAGGCAGCAGUGGGGAAUUUUGGACAAUGGGCGCAAGCCUGAUCCAGCCAUGCCGCGUGCGGGACGAAGGCCUUCGGUUGUAAACCGCUUCUAGCCGGAAGAAAUCGCCAAGGCUAAUAUCCUUGGUGGAUGACGGUACCGGAAGAAGAAGCACCGGCUAACUACGUGCCAGCAGCCGCGGUAAAGU
Molecule: ribosomal RNA, 499 nt
Filed under: uncultured bacterium
Lineage: Bacteria
Description: bacterial SSU rRNA
Rfam family: Bacterial small subunit ribosomal RNA
Source: RNAcentral